This 254-nucleotide ribosomal RNA is filed under the name uncultured bacterium. RNAcentral's name for it is "partial 16S ribosomal RNA". It matches the Rfam family "Bacterial small subunit ribosomal RNA", at positions 524 to 776 of the family's 1533-position model. The record is from RNAcentral.
UACGUAGGCAGCGAGCGUUGUUCGGAGUUACUGGGCGUAAAGGGCGCGUAGGCGGCCAGCGCAAGUCAGUUGUGAAAUCUCCGGGCUUAACUCGGAACGGUCAACUGAUACUGCGCGGCUAGAGUGCAGAAGGGGCAACUGGAAUUCUCGGUGUAGCGGUGAAAUGCGUAGAUAUCGAGAGGAACACCUGCGGCGAAGGCGGGUUGCUGGGCUGACACUGACGCUGAUGCGCGAAAGCCAGGGGAGCGAACGGG